RNAcentral lists this ribosomal RNA (484 nucleotides) under uncultured bacterium. Its description in RNAcentral is "partial 16S ribosomal RNA". It matches the Rfam family "Bacterial small subunit ribosomal RNA", at positions 30 to 507 of the family's 1533-position model. The record is from RNAcentral.
AUUGAACGCUGGCGGCAGGCCUAACACAUGCAAGUCGAGCGGAUGAAGGGAGCUUGCUCCUGGACUCAGCGGCGGACGGGUGAGUAAUGCCUAGGAAUCUGCCUGGUAGUGGGGGAUAACGUCCGGAAACGGGCGCUAAUACCGCAUACGUCCUGAGGGAGAGAGUGGGGGAUCUUCGGACCUCACGCUAUCAGAUGAGCCUAGGUCGGAUUAGCUAGUUGGUGGGGUAAAGGCCUACCAAGGCGACGAUCCGUAACUGGUCUGAGAGGAUGAUCAGUCACACUGGAACUGAGACACGGUCCAGACUCCUACGGGAGGCAGCAGUGGGGAAUAUUGGACAAUGGGCGAAAGCCUGAUCCAGCCAUGCCGCGUGUGUGAAGAAGGUCUUCGGAUUGUAAAGCACUUUAAGUUGGGAGGAAGGGCAGUAAGUUAAUACCUUGCUGUUUUGACGUUACCAACAGAAUAAGCACCGGCUAACUUCGUG